This 1083-nucleotide ribosomal RNA is filed under the name Candidatus Palibaumannia cicadellinicola. Its description in RNAcentral is "bacterial SSU rRNA". It matches the Rfam family "Bacterial small subunit ribosomal RNA", at positions 27 to 1099 of the family's 1533-position model. Lineage: Bacteria; Pseudomonadati; Pseudomonadota; Gammaproteobacteria. The record is from RNAcentral.
GAUUGAACGCUGGCGGCAGGCCUAACACAUGCAAGUCGAGCGGUAGCACAAGAGAGCUUGCUCUCCGGGUGACGAGCGGCGGACGGGUGAGUAAUGUCUGGGAAACUGCCUGAUGGAGGGGGAUAACUACUGGAAACGGUAGCUAAUACCGCAUAACGUCGCAAGACCAAAGUGGGGGACCUUCGGGCCUCACGCCAUCAGAUGUGCCCAGAUGGGAUUAGCUAGUAGGUGGGGUAAUGGCUCACCUAGGCGACGAUCCCUAGCUGGUCUGAGAGGAUGACCAGCCACACUGGAACUGAGACACGGUCCAGACUCCUACGGGAGGCAGCAGUGGGGAAUAUUGCACAAUGGGCGCAAGCCUGAUGCAGCCAUGCCGCGUGUGUGAAGAAGGCCUUCGGGUUGUAAAGCACUUUCAGCGAGGAGGAAGGCAGUAAGGUUAAUAACCUUGCUGAUUGACGUUACUCGCAGAAGAAGCACCGGCUAACUCCGUGCCAGCAGCCGCGGUAAUACGGAGGGUGCAAGCGUUAAUCGGAAUGACUGGGCGUAAAGCGCACGCAGGCAGUUUGUUAAGUUGGAUGUGAAAUCCCCGGGCUUAACCUGGGAACUGCAUUCAAAACUGGCAAGCUAGAGUCUCGUAGAGGGGGGUGGAAUUCCAGGUGUAGCGGUGAAAUGCGUAGAGAUCUGGAGGAAUACCGGUGGCGAAGGCGGCCCCCUGGACGAAGACUGACGCUCAGGUGCGAAAGCGUGGGGAGCAAACAGGAUUAGAUACCCUGGUAGUCCACGCUGUAAACGAUGUCGAUUUGGAGGUUGUUCCCUUGAGGCGUGGCUUCCGGAGCUAACGCGUUAAAUCGACCGCCUGGGGAGUACGGCCGCAAGGUUAAAACUCAAAUGAAUUGACGGGGGCCCGCACAAGCGGUGGAGCAUGUGGUUUAAUUCGAUGCAACGCGAAGAACCUUACCUACUCUUGACAUCCAGAGAACUUGGCAGAGAUGCCUUGGUGCCUUCGGGAACUCUGAGACAGGUGCUGCAUGGCUGUCGUCAGCUCGUGUUGUGAAAUGUUGGGUUAAGUCCCGCAACGAGCGC